This 497-nucleotide ribosomal RNA is filed under the name uncultured bacterium. RNAcentral's name for it is "partial 16S ribosomal RNA". It matches the Rfam family "Bacterial small subunit ribosomal RNA", at positions 28 to 507 of the family's 1533-position model. The record is from RNAcentral.
GACGAACGCUGGCGGCGUGCCUAAUACAUGCAAGUAGAACGCUGAAGAGAGGAGCUUGCUCUUCUUGGAUGAGUUGCGAACGGGUGAGUAACGCGUAGGUAACCUGCCUUGUAGCGGGGGAUAACUAUUGGAAACGAUAGCUAAUACCGCAUAACAAUGGAUGACACAUGUCAUUUAUUUGAAAGGGGCAAUUGCUCCACUACAAGAUGGACCUGCGUUGUAUUAGCUAGUAGGUGAGGUAAUGGCUCACCUAGGCGACGAUACAUAGCCGACCCGAGAGGGUGGUCGGCCACACUGGGACUGAGACACGGCCCAGACUCCUACGGGAGGCAGCAGUAGGGAAUCUUCGGCAAUGGGGGCAACCCUGACCGAGCAACGCCGCGUGAGUGAAGAAGGUUUUCGGAUCGUAAAGCUCGGUUGUAAGUCAAGAACGGGUGUGAGAGUGGAAAGUUCACACUGUGACGGUAGCUUACCAGAAAGGGACGGCUAACUACGUG